UUUUUUGAAUGAAUGAAAAAAAUAAAAAAAACAUGGAUGAAUGUACAUGAACAUGAAUGGCAUAAAGUGAAUAAAAGGCAAAAGCAUAGUUUGAAAUGUUUCAGCUGGGAUUCGAUCCGAGGGAGAAUUCAAAACUAGCGCGCGCUCACUUAAGUGGAUGUACACGUGGUCCAAUGCAUGAGCGAUAAACACGGAAACGCAUGCAGAACAAGGCUAUGAAGAUCAAACAUGAAUUCUGG
This 239-nucleotide long non-coding RNA is filed under the name Lathyrus oleraceus (garden pea). RNAcentral describes it as "Pisum sativum (pea) long non-coding RNA (PSAT_LNC005088)". Lineage: Eukaryota; Viridiplantae; Streptophyta; Magnoliopsida; Fabales; Fabaceae. The record is from RNAcentral.